GUGAGGAAUUUUCCGCAAUGGGCGAAAGCCUGACGGAGCAAUGCCGCGUGAAGGAUGAAGGCCUAUGGGUUGUAAACUUCUUUUCUCAGAAAAGAAUUAUGACGGUAUCUGAGGAAUAAGCAUCGGCUAACUCUGUGCCAGCAGCCGCGGUAAGACAGAGGAUGCAAGCGUUAUCCGGAAUGAUUGGGCGUAAAGCGUCUGUAGGUUGUUUAAAAAGUAUUCUGUCAAAGAUUAGGGCUUAACCCUAGAUAGGCAGAAUAAACUUUUAAGCUAGAGUUUGGUAGAGGCAGAGGGAAUUCCCGGUGGAGCGGUGAAAUGCGUAGAUAUCGGGAGGAACACCAAAGGCGAAGGCACUCUGCUGGGCCAAUACUAACACUGAGAGACGAAAGCGAGGGGAGCAAAUGGGAUUAGAAACUCCGGUAGUCC
This 426-nucleotide ribosomal RNA is filed under the name uncultured bacterium. RNAcentral describes it as "bacterial SSU rRNA". It matches the Rfam family "Bacterial small subunit ribosomal RNA", at positions 354 to 796 of the family's 1533-position model. The record is from RNAcentral.